CUGAGAUCAAAACUUCAGCGCACUAAAAUCAGUUCUUCCACAAAAAUCUUGAGCACACGAUCUCAUCUAUAAACCCUAAUAUCCAAAGGUAACAAAAUUAUCUUCUUCAAUCGAAUUCCUUCAAACCCUAAGAAUCGAACUCAUCUUCCUGCAAUCGAAUUUUGCAAUCGAAUCCCUAACCCAUAACCCAUAAAUUAUCUUCUCUCCACCAUAUACGCAUCAAUUAAUCUUUCACAAUUCGUACUCUUUUGUCACCGUGCUCGUCACAACGUUCGCGUUGUGCUGUCACAACUCAAACCGUCGUUAUUAAGAUUUGUGUUGUGUGUCUCUUGUGAAAGCAAAUCAACAAGAUAGAAGGGUUGCAACUCAUUUUUCCAAAGAAUUGAAGGUAAUUCAUUGAUAGAGUGAUUUUCCAACAAUUUAAUUAGUUGCUUUUGUGUUGAGUGUAUUUUGAACAUCUCUGUCAAAUAAUAUAAGUGUUGAUGCAGUAAAGAACCGCCUCAAUCUUGUAUUAAACAAGGUAACAAUGGAUAUAGUAGAUUUGCAUGACAUGAUAUAUAUUGAUAUAGCCUUUUUGUUAUAUUUGCAAUUAGUUGUAGAUCCUACGAUCAUUUUGUCUUUACUAAUUACUCCCCAUAAUUAAGGAAAAUAUUGUAGCUAAGGCAAUUCCUUUCUCAAUUGGGGCAACAAAUGGUCUUCCACUUUAGAGGUUACAGGAUAGUUCAUAGUAGUCUAUGAUAUAUUUUCUAUAUAUCUGCAUAUAUGAUAUUAUUGAAUGCACCUUUUUUUGUGAACUGUUAAGAUUUGACAUUUCAUCACUUGUCUCUUUCUGCCCUGCUGGGAGAAAACAUCUACAACUAUAAUUUUAGAGAGCUACUUGCCCAUCCUAUUUCUUUGUUUCAAGACAUUUGAAAGUCUUGUUAUGAUUAAGCCCUGCAUUUGAGGGUUGUGGAUUCAAAAUGACAUCAAUAUCUACUCAGCAACAGUUCUGAUAUGCCCAGCCACCAUCGAAGCCUAUUAGAGCAUUCACAUGGCAAGGUCAUUGAGAACUUAUAUUUUGGUUGGUGUCUCCUGGUAUUAAAGUUUAUCAUGCUUCUUUUUAAUUGUGAAACUUCUCAAUAUUACUCCCAAAGACAUGACUUUAAUUUUUUUAAAGAGUUACAAGCUUGUCUUAUAGCUUUCAAAGAAUUAGCUUGAUGUGGUGAAGGUCAAAUGACAUUUGAUGUAAUUCUGUAUGGGUAGUUCAAUGACAAUUUCCUAGAGGUUAAGAAGCUCUACAUCCAGAGGAAAGAUUAAAUCAAAUAGUCGAAAAAGAUCUAAUGACAGAGUGUCUUAGUUAAAUGAGAAGAAAUGGUCCACGUUGCACUCAUCUGUAGACAUUUUAGGUGACUCUGUUGAUUAUGUGUAAUUGCAUAUGCCUCUAAGCAUUAGUACUCAGGCACCACAUGAGCUAAACUAAGGCUUUUCUCUUGUACUAAAGAUCAACGAUUUAGAAACUGAGUGGUGUCAUUCAUACAUGCUAUAUAAUUUUGAGUUGUAUUUUGUU
This is a long non-coding RNA of Trifolium pratense (red clover), 1546 nucleotides long. RefSeq lists it as uncharacterized. The record is from RefSeq and is a predicted model, not a curated record. Lineage: Eukaryota; Viridiplantae; Streptophyta; Magnoliopsida; Fabales; Fabaceae. The transcript has 7 exons.